CCAGCUCGCUGUGGGGCGGCAGCCGCUGCUCCAUGUCGAACACCAGCAGGUGCGAGGAGACCUCGGACACCAGGAACCUGCCGGCCACCUCUGGGGACACGAGCGGGUGAAAUGUCCCCCAAAGGAGGAAGAGGAGCCAGGGGCCUGUAAACCACUUUUGUGGGACUACUGAACCCUGAGGGAAAUGGUGAGGAUGGGUACAGCAGCCUCUUCGGAGGCACCAGCGACAUGUCCCCAACAGCUGAGGCUCCGGGUGGGCAGCAUGAUCACCGGACCACCCAGCCACGUGGCCACAAGCAGCCACCCCUGCUGAGGUGUCCAGGACCGGUCUCCUCAUCUCCCCAGACACCUGGCCUCAUCUAUCUCUGGGCACUGAGGAGCCAGAGUCCAGACUGCCAGCUGAGGGCCGUGGGAAAAUGUGAGGUCAGAGGUCAUCCUGCGGACUCUGCGGAUGGGGACAAACUGGACCAGAGCCUGGGCUUGGAACCAAAGUGAGCUGUGAGUUAAUACACAUAGUACAAGAGUCAAAAGGUGCAAAAGGCGUUCAUGAAAAAUAUCAGCCUCGGGAGUUCCCGGGUGGUCCAGUGGGU
Long non-coding RNA from Balaenoptera musculus (blue whale), 590 nucleotides. RefSeq lists it as uncharacterized. The transcript is spliced from 4 exons. NCBI's taxonomy places the organism in Eukaryota, Metazoa, Chordata, Mammalia, Artiodactyla, Balaenopteridae. The record is from RefSeq and is a predicted model, not a curated record.